Molecule: signal recognition particle RNA, 85 nt
Filed under: Candidatus Adamsella sp.
Lineage: Bacteria; Bacillati
Description: signal recognition particle sRNA small type
Rfam family: Bacterial small signal recognition particle RNA
About the family: The signal recognition particle (SRP) is a universally conserved ribonucleoprotein involved in the co-translational targeting of proteins to membranes. Archaeal SRP consists of a 7S RNA and homologues of the eukaryotic SRP19 and SRP54 proteins.
Source: RNAcentral
GGUGGCGACGGCGGAAGUCGGUGAACCUUGUCAGGACGGGAACGUAGCAGCAAUAAGCCAUAAACUUUCGGGUGUCGCCUCUUUU